RNAcentral lists this ribosomal RNA (675 nucleotides) under uncultured Lachnospiraceae bacterium. Its description in RNAcentral is "bacterial SSU rRNA". It matches the Rfam family "Bacterial small subunit ribosomal RNA", at positions 83 to 776 of the family's 1533-position model. Lineage: Bacteria; Bacillati; Bacillota; Clostridia; Lachnospirales; Lachnospiraceae. The record is from RNAcentral.
GAUUGUGACUGAGCGGCGGACGGGUGAGUAACGCGUGGGUAACCUGCCUCAUACAGGGGGAUAACAGUUAGAAAUGACUGCUAAUACCGCAUAAGACCACAGCACCGCAUGGUGCGGGGGUAAAAACUCCGGUGGUAUGAGAUGGACCCGCGUCCGAUUAGCUAGUUGGUAAGGUAACGGCUUACCAAGGCGACGAUCAGUAGCCGACCUGAGAGGGUGACCGGCCACAUUGGGACUGAGACACGGCCCAAACUCCUACGGGAGGCAGCAGUGGGGAAUAUUGCACAAUGGGGGAAACCCUGAUGCAGCGACGCCGCGUGAGCGAAGAAGUAUUUCGGUAUGUAAAGCUCUAUCAGCAGGGAAGAAAAUGACGGUACCUGACUAAGAAGCACCGGCUAAAUACGUGCCAGCAGCCGCGGUAAUACGUAUGGUGCAAGCGUUAUCCGGAUUUACUGGGUGUAAAGGGAGCGUAGACGGAUGGGCAAGUCUGAUGUGAAAACCCGGGGCUCAACCCCGGGACUGCAUUGGAAACUGUUCAUCUAGAGUGCUGGAGAGGUAAGUGGAAUUCCUAGUGUAGCGGUGAAAUGCGUAGAUAUUAGGAGGAACACCAGUGGCGAAGGCGGCUUACUGGACAGUAACUGACGUUGAGGCUCCAAAGCGUGGGGAGCAAACAGG